RNAcentral lists this transfer RNA (74 nucleotides) under Microcaldota archaeon. Its description in RNAcentral is "Candidatus Micrarchaeota archaeon (hot springs metagenome) tRNA-Lys". It matches the Rfam family "tRNA". Rfam says of the family: Transfer RNA (tRNA) molecules are approximately 80 nucleotides in length. Their secondary structure includes four short double-helical elements and three loops (D, anti-codon, and T loops). Further hydrogen bonds mediate the characteristic L-shaped molecular structure. tRNAs have two regions of fundamental functional importance: the anti-codon, which is responsible for specific mRNA codon recognition, and the 3' end, to which the tRNAs corresponding amino acid is attached (by aminoacyl-tRNA synthetases). tRNAs cope with the degeneracy of the genetic code in two manners: having more than one tRNA (with a specific anti-codon) for a particular amino acid; and 'wobble' base-pairing, i.e. permitting non-standard base-pairing at the 3rd anti-codon position. Lineage: Archaea; Nanobdellati; Microcaldota. The record is from RNAcentral. RNAcentral also lists the same sequence under 1 other name.
GGGCCCGUAGCUCAGCGUGGCAGAGCGGCUGGCUCUUAACCAGUAGGUCGCGCGUUCAAAUCGCGCCGGGCCCG